AGCAGCCGCGGUAAUUCCAGCUCCAAUAGCGUAUAUUAAAGUUGUUGCAGUUAAAAAGCUCGUAGUUGAACUUCGGGGUCUACCCAUUGGUCAGGCUUAAUUGUCUGCACUGGUGAGAUGGAUCUCUACCUUCUGAGGAACUUUCAUGCCAUUUAUUUGGUGUGGUUGGAAAUCAGGACUGUUACUUUGAAAAAAUUAGAGUGUUUAAAGCAGACUAUCGUCUGAAUACAUUAGCAUGGAAUAAUGAAAUAGGACGGACUGAUUCUAUUUCGUUGGUUUCUAGGAUCACCGUAAUGAUUAAUAGGGAUAGUUGGGGGCAUUAGUAUUCAAUUGUCAGAGGUGAAAUUCUUGGAUUUAUUGAAGACUAACUACUGCGAAGACAUUAGCCAAGGAUGUUUUCUAUUAAUCAAGAACGAAAGUUAGGGGAGUCGAAGAGACCCCUNAGAUACCGUCGUAGUCUUAACCAUAAACUAUAGCCGACUACGGAGUCGGACGAAGUUAAUUUUAUUAAUAGACGCG
Molecule: ribosomal RNA, 519 nt
Filed under: uncultured Diversisporaceae
Lineage: Eukaryota; Fungi; Glomeromycota; Glomeromycetes; Diversisporales
Description: SSU rRNA
Rfam family: Eukaryotic small subunit ribosomal RNA
Source: RNAcentral